AAGUCGUAACAAGGUUUCCGUAGGUGAACCUGCGGAAGGAUCAUUAAGAGAUAGGGUCUUCAUGCGCCGCACCCCUUACCCCUAAACCCCUUCUUGUUUGAUUAUAACUACCUUUGUUGCUUUGGCGGGACCGUCUCGGUCUCCGAGCGCACUAACCCUCGGGUUGGUGAGCGCCCGCCAGAGUCCAACCAAAACUCUUGUAUUAAACCAGUCGUCUGAGUAUAAAAUUUAAUUAAAUUAAAA
RNAcentral lists this unclassified non-coding RNA (243 nucleotides) under plant metagenome. RNAcentral describes it as "partial contains small subunit ribosomal RNA and internal transcribed spacer 1". The stretch from base 1 to 46 matches the Rfam family "Eukaryotic small subunit ribosomal RNA", at positions 1786 to 1831 of the family's 1831-position model. The record is from RNAcentral.